Molecule: long non-coding RNA, 2388 nt
Organism: Esox lucius (northern pike)
Lineage: Eukaryota; Metazoa; Chordata; Actinopteri; Esociformes; Esocidae
Source: Ensembl
CUGGCGGGGAUGAAACGUUUGCCGCCGAAUACGUCACUCCCAUUUCUUGCGAGAUUUUUUGACUGCUUCAUUUUCUCUGGCGGUUGCCUGGGUCUAAAGGACCACGGGCCUUCGGCGGCAAGACGCUUUUAAAUAGGCUACUCUCAAAAUCGACCGGCCAUGAUGGUUUGGACACAUUCGCAUCAGUUCGUCGCUCAAUCGCGAGUUACAGUCUGCUAGCUAGCAAAGUCAUCGACUACCAUCGUUUAAAUACCUUGGCCAGAGCAUAACCGAUUAUCUUCACCCAAGAGACCUACUGUUGGUCAAUCGUUUUGGUUUUAAAGGUAAAUACACUGUUAGUCACAAUGUUUAGUUACUGGGCCAAAAGGAAAAUAAUAAUGAAAAGAGUUGAGAGGGACAAACAGGACAUUCACUUGAAUCACUACAUUCUACAGAAGUUGCAUUGAUUCCAGAAAACCAGGAAAAUGUUGAGCCAUCUGUAGACUUCAGAGUUGAACCAGGUUUCUCCCCAGUAAUCCAGACUCCACUUCAGAGCCAAGAGUUUGAGUACAAGGCACUUGACUUUCUGGAUAAAAGGUGUGGAGUUCGUCAAGUACUAAACUUUACACCCCCAGCAGAAAAUGUACCCUGGCAGCAAAUGGGUGAAAAGGCUGGAGGAGAAAGUCAUCGCUCCGUUUUUGUCCCUUGGACUCCCCUGGCAUCGCAUGUACAGCAUGAAGUUUUCAGCAAUGAAGGUAUAUUCUAUGCCUAUGUCCUAAUGUCCAGUUUUUUAACAGUUUUGAAAAUAGUGCCUUUAGUUUUCCAGAACGAGAACCAAGCCCUGAGGGAGGAGAACCAAGCCCUGAGGGAGGAGAACCAAGCCCUGAGGGAGGAGAACCAAGCCCUGAGGGAGGGGAACCAAGCCCUGAGGGAGGGGAGCCAUGCCCUGAGGGAGGGGAGCCAUGCCCUGAGGGAGGGGAGCCAUGCCCUGAGGGAGGGGAGCCAUGCAAGAGCAGCUUCGGGUGACAGCGGCUCGCUUCAAGAGCAGGUGAAGCUAUUUGGGACAAUGCUGAAGAUGUUUGCUCGCACUGGGCAAUCAGGUGCAGAUCAGACCCUAGUGCUGCGACGUCUUGGAGAGUUUGGCGAUGUGCGUAGCAUGGAAAACAAAAUGGACACUAUGCUGCAACAUUUCAGUGUCAAUGUGUCUGUUGGAGAGCUAUCCCUGCCAGGGGAUGUUACUCCCCCUAGACACCCAGGAAGAUUUGGUGUUUCUUGACAGCAUUUUGAGGGAGGAUAAAGAGCUCCAGGAACGAUUUGGGCCCUCCGGAAGAACCCGGCAACCCAGGAUGCCACUGAUGAGGCGGUCCAGGUUAACGUUACACGUUACCUGAAAGGAGCAUCAGACUGUGAAGGAGGAAAAAGCCGCCCAGCUGAGAAGGACCCACAGCCAACCCCUUAAACCUAGGCUGACUACUGACACCCCAGCAUCCCUGAACUGGAACACUUUCUUUAUCCUGCAGUCAGUAACAUCAAGAAGCCAGAAGUGCCAGACUACACUCACCAAACCCACCCUGUUUUUUUUGUAUUAACUUUAGUAUUGGCUUAUUUCAUUCCAUCUUAACGAUUCUAUUAUAGUUUGUAAAUCCUAUUUCAUACCUGUUACUUGAUAUUGCGCAUUAACUAGUACCAACAUUCUACUUUCAUUUCAUCACUAUGCUUAACUGUUAUUCAAUUAAUUAUAGCUUGGAAAUACUAUUUCGUACCUCUGAUACUUGAUAUUGCACAGUACCUGGUACCAAAUAUUCUACUUACUCUGUUUUUAACAUCAGCAUUUUUCAUUCCAUCACAGUGCUUAACUGUUAUUCUAUUGUUAAAUAUAGCUUGUAAAUCCUUGUGCCACAGGUCAGCAUUGCAGUUAUAAUGGUCUGUUCUACUACUGUUUUUACCUCUGUAUUUUUAUAUAUGUAUAUCAAGUUUUGUUUAUCACAGAUACAAGAGACACAUCUUAAUGCAGCAUGGUGUAAAUAUUGUGCUCCAGGUCAGCAAUGCCAUUAUAAUGGAAUAUUCUACUCUAGAGCUUUACUCAAUGGCUUGAAAAUGUGAUGUUCUACCUCGUUUUAUUUGGUAUCCUGCACAUUCUUUGGUACCAAAUAUCCUCAUUACUUGUUAUGUUUACUGGUAAUUAUUUUCAUCCCAGAGCUGACCUCUAUAUUAUUAACAAUGAUUGUGUUUGUGUUAUAAUUUGCUUGUAUGGCUGUUCUUUUUUUUUUAACCAACAUUUUAUUGGAAACCUGCAUGUUCUGUGUGUAUUUAUGUUUCUUUUUUUCUGCCUAUUAUUUAUUUCAGUGAUCUGACACAUCUUGUUUGAAUGACAGUUACUGUACUUUGAAAUGUGGAAUUAAAACACCA